This 66-nucleotide transfer RNA is filed under the name Tettigarcta crinita (hairy cicada). RNAcentral describes it as "tRNA-Ser". Lineage: Eukaryota; Metazoa; Arthropoda; Insecta; Hemiptera; Tettigarctidae. The record is from RNAcentral.
AGAGAAAUUGGAAUAAAAGUAGCUGCUAACUAACUUUUUAAGCGGUUAAACUCCGUUUUUUCUCUA